Beta vulgaris subsp. vulgaris (sugar beet) is the source of this 529-nucleotide long non-coding RNA. RefSeq lists it as uncharacterized. NCBI's taxonomy places the organism in Eukaryota, Viridiplantae, Streptophyta, Magnoliopsida, Caryophyllales, Amaranthaceae. The record is from RefSeq and is a predicted model, not a curated record. The transcript has 2 exons.
CCCCAACCCACCGUCCUCUUCUCUCCUGCGCAUCUUCUCCUCUGCAGUCCGUCGGAAUUUUUUUUUCCCCUUCUCGUCGGAGCUUGUUCUCCGCUCGUCGGUGCUGUGUGUUCGAGUCUUUCUCUCUCCUCCCUCGAGACUCUCUCUCUCGUCGCGCUUUUUGUUCGCGAUUUUGCUGCUGCUCUCGACGCUGUUAUUCGGUGGUGCUUCGCCACCACCGCACGUUGUCGUGCUGCUGCCGGUUGUGGUCAUGGUGCCGUCAAGGUCGGUUUUUCCCUCCCCUGCUCGCGUUGUCGUUGUUGUUCUGCUGCCGCGGUCGACUUGCGCUGCUGCUGUCGCCACCUCGGUGUUGGUGGUACACCGAGUACCGAAGUAUUUUAAAUGUUUCAGGUUGAAGCCGUGAGUUAUUCUUUUGCAAGUUGAAGCUGAUACGAGAUGAUGCCGUAUUAUAUUUGUUAUUGAAGUGAGGACGCUCCACUUGUAAUAGUUAAUCGUUUAAUUUCUAUAAUAUAUUUUCUUUAUUUAAGAA